UCCGUAGGCGGGCAAUUAAGUCAGGGGUGAAAGUCUGCGGCUCAACCGUAGGACUGCCCUUGAUACUGGUUGUCUUGAAUCGUUGUGAAGUGGCUAGAAUGAGCAGUGUAGCGGUGAAAUGCAUAGAUAUUGCUCAGAAUACCGAUUGCGAAGGCAGGUCACUAACAACGUAUUGACGCUGAGGGACGAAAGCGUGGGGAGCGAACA
RNAcentral lists this ribosomal RNA (207 nucleotides) under uncultured bacterium. RNAcentral describes it as "partial 16S ribosomal RNA". It matches the Rfam family "Bacterial small subunit ribosomal RNA", at positions 568 to 774 of the family's 1533-position model. The record is from RNAcentral.